Molecule: ribosomal RNA, 454 nt
Filed under: Escherichia coli
Lineage: Bacteria; Pseudomonadati; Pseudomonadota; Gammaproteobacteria; Enterobacterales; Enterobacteriaceae
Description: partial 23S ribosomal RNA
Rfam family: Bacterial large subunit ribosomal RNA
Source: RNAcentral
UUAAUAUUCCUGUACUUGGUGUUACUGCGAAGGGGGGACGGAGAAGGCUAUGUUGGCCGGGCGACGGUUGUCCCGGUUUAAGCGUGUAGGCUGGUUUUCCAGGCAAAUCCGGAAAAUCAAGGCUGAGGCGUGAUGACGAGGCACUACGGUGCUGAAGCAACAAAUGCCCUGCUUCCAGGAAAAGCCUCUAAGCAUCAGGUAACAUCAAAUCGUACCCCAAACCGACACAGGUGGUCAGGUAGAGAAUACCAAGGCGCUUGAGAGAACUCGGGUGAAGGAACUAGGCAAAAUGGUGCCGUAACUUCGGGAGAAGGCACGCUGAUAUGUAGGUGAAGUCCCUCGCGGAUGGAGCUGAAAUCAGUCGAAGAUACCAGCUGGCUGCAACUGUUUAUUAAAAACACAGCACUGUGCAAACACGAAAGUGGACGUAUACGGUGUGACGCCUGCCCGGUGC